This 806-nucleotide ribosomal RNA is filed under the name Escherichia coli. RNAcentral describes it as "partial 23S ribosomal RNA". It matches the Rfam family "Bacterial large subunit ribosomal RNA", at positions 387 to 1194 of the family's 2925-position model. Lineage: Bacteria; Pseudomonadati; Pseudomonadota; Gammaproteobacteria; Enterobacterales; Enterobacteriaceae. The record is from RNAcentral.
AAUGCACAUACUGUGAGCUCGAUGAGUAGGGCGGGACACGUGGUAUCCUGUCUGAAUAUGGGGGGACCAUCCUCCAAGGCUAAAUACUCCUGACUGACCGAUAGUGAACCAGUACCGUGAGGGAAAGGCGAAAAGAACCCCGGCGAGGGGAGUGAAAAAGAACCUGAAACCGUGUACGUACAAGCAGUGGGAGCACGCUUAGGCGUGUGACUGCGUACCUUUUGUAUAAUGGGUCAGCGACUUAUAUUCUGUAGCAAGGUUAACCGAAUAGGGGAGCCGAAGGGAAACCGAGUCUUAACUGGGCGUUAAGUUGCAGGGUAUAGACCCGAAACCCGGUGAUCUAGCCAUGGGCAGGUUGAAGGUUGGGUAACACUAACUGGAGGACCGAACCGACUAAUGUUGAAAAAUUAGCGGAUGACUUGUGGCUGGGGGUGAAAGGCCAAUCAAACCGGGAGAUAGCUGGUUCUCCCCGAAAGCUAUUUAGGUAGCGCCUCGUGAAUUCAUCUCCGGGGGUAGAGCACUGUUUCGGCAAGGGGGUCAUCCCGACUUACCAACCCGAUGCAAACUGCGAAUACCGGAGAAUGUUAUCACGGGAGACACACGGCGGGUGCUAACGUCCGUCGUGAAGAGGGAAACAACCCAGACCGCCAGCUAAGGUCCCAAAGUCAUGGUUAAGUGGGAAACGAUGUGGGAAGGCCCAGACAGCCAGGAUGUUGGCUUAGAAGCAGCCAUCAUUUAAAGAAAGCGUAAUAGCUCACUGGUCGAGUCGGCCUGCGCGGAAGAUGUAACGGGGCUAAACCAUGCAC